UGUAGAAUAAGCUAAUACACAAGCUAUUGGGUUCAUACCCCGAAAAUGAAUAACUAUUCUUCUACAU
Molecule: transfer RNA, 67 nt
Filed under: Cipangopaludina lecythis ampullacea
Lineage: Eukaryota; Metazoa; Mollusca; Gastropoda; Architaenioglossa; Viviparidae
Description: tRNA-Met
Source: RNAcentral